AUUAUCUAUGGCUUUUAAGCUCCUUGGCAGAAAUAUUACUAUUCAAGGUCUCAACCCUACUGCAUUAUCACUAAUGGAAGGUGAAGAAUUUGGGAAGGCUACUAAGAUUAAUAAGAGAGGAACUAUUAGCAUUGGUGUUAGCUGUGAGGAAGUGGCGGGCUUAUGCCCUUGGACAGAAAUUUGUGGUGCAAACUGACCAACAAAGCCUCAAACAUCUAUUGGAUUAGCGUGUGGGUACUGUUGCCCAGCAAAAGUGGCUUACAAACUUAUUGGGAUAUGAUUUUGAAGUUCAGUACAAAAGAAGAAGGGAGAAUUGUGAAGGGGAAUUUUCAAGGAAAUGUGAAGGAGAAUUUUCAACUCCAAAUGUACCAGUGGCAACUUGGCUGAAUCAGUUGAGGACUGAUUAUGUCACAUCACUAGAACUGAUUUCCUUGCAGGAACAGUUCAAAGCAGGCCAACUAGAUCAGUCUAAAUACAGUGAGAAGGAUGGAAUUAUUUUCUACAAGGGUCGGAUUUAUGUUGGGGCCACUACACCUCUUAAGGAGCAGCUUAUUCAGCUAUUUCAUUGCAAUCCUCAAGGAGGUCAUUCUGGGUUUCACAAAACAUUACAUAGGGCUAGAUCUGAAUUUUUUCGGAAGGGUAUGCGCAGAGACAUUAGAUCAUUCAUUAAAGAAUGUGAUAAUUUUUAAAGGAAUAAAAGUGAGAAUAUACAUCCUCCUGGACUUCUUCAACCUCUUUCAAUUCCCACAAAGGUAUGGAGUGACAUUUCUAUGGACUUUAUUGAAGGGCUUCCAGUCUCUCAGGGGCUUAGUGUCAUUGUGGUGGUGGUUGAUUGACUUACAAAAUAUGCCCACUUCAUUCCCCUCUCCCAUCCUUAUAUAGCCUCCAAAAUUGCUCAUGUUUUUAUGGAUAAUAUUUUCAAACUCCAUGGAAUGUCCACUUCUAUUGUCACUGACCGUGACCCAAAAUUCACACGUAGUUUUUGGAAAGAAUUAUUUAGAUUACUAGGAACCUCCUUGCAGCUCAGUUCAGUCUAUCAUCCUCAGUCUGAUGGCCAAACUGAAAUAGUCAACAAAUGUGUUGAGCAGUAUUUGAGAAGUUUUACUGGGGACAAACUGCGUCAUUGGGCUAAAUGGAUAUCUUUGGCUAAGUGGUGGUACAACACCAACUUACACUCUUCCACCAAACUUACACCAUUUGAAUCAGUCUACGGUUAUCCACCCCCUAAAUUAUUGCCCUUUUCCUCGGCACUACACAAGUUCAGGCAGUUGAUAAUGAGUUACGUACAAUGAAUGAACUCUCUAAGCUACUUCAACACAACCUAUAGCUAGCUCAAGAACGUAUGAAAAAUUUCCUGAUUUGAAGAUAACUGAACGUAGUUUUGAAAUUGAGGAUUUCGUGUACCUUUGGUUGCAGCCCUAUCUUCAGCACUUAGUGGUAUCUUGGAGUAAAUUGAAGCUUUCCCCAAGGUUUUAUGGGCCUUACAAAAUUUUGGAACAUGUGGGUUCGGUGGCUUACUGAUUGGAGCUUCCGUUGGAUUCUAGGGUUCACCCAACAUUCCAUGUCUUGUGUUUGAAGAGGAAACUGGGUAAGCACAACAUACACUCAUCUUCCUUACCCCCACUUGCAGAAUGUGUAAACCGGAGCCUGAUAAGAUUCUGCAAUGUCGCAUGGUGCAACGGCGAAAUCGUGCGGGUGCUAAGAUUUUGGUAAAGUGGAGAGGACUUCCAGAUGAUGAAGCCUCGUGGGUUGACUAUAACAAAUUAGCCCUUGAUUCCUCGACCUUGUGGGCAAGGUCCUAUAGGGGAAGAGAUUGUUAUGGGCCACAACCCAUGGCCCACGUUAGUUGGCUUAUAGCCAUGUUAGUUUUGAGUUGCUAAGUUGUUAAGUUCAGUGGGUUGUUAAUAAAGUGCACACACCAUGGUCUCUAACCUCGUCAAGUGAAGAGUCUGUAGUUUUGCUUGAUUUUAGAGGUUGUUUUGGGUUGUUUUGAUUCCUGGUAAUUAGGCAAUAUAUUUGCCAGUUUGUUGGUCUUGUUCACUUUUAAAUAUUCGUUCAGUUAAUGAAGAUUGUAGAGAAAUUUGCUA
Juglans microcarpa x Juglans regia is the source of this 2087-nucleotide long non-coding RNA. RefSeq lists it as uncharacterized. The transcript is spliced from 2 exons. NCBI's taxonomy places the organism in Eukaryota, Viridiplantae, Streptophyta, Magnoliopsida, Fagales, Juglandaceae. The record is from RefSeq and is a predicted model, not a curated record.